CUUACACAUCUCUUCAGAAUCCCUGCUUCCUACAUUAUAAUCUUGGGAUUUAAUACAUGUUUUUCAUUCAGGUUAUUAUCAAUAUCAGAUUUAUCUGACUAUGCAUGAACACAGCCACAGAUUCAGGGAAAAAGAUGUAUCUUUCAGCGCUGAAGAGAAUAAAAAUUAAUAAUCCUCAGAGACUUUCAAACUGAAGUGGGCAGGGAAGGGUGGAAAGAACCGAUCUCAUUCUAUGAAGAGCAUGCAGGGAUUUUCACAGAGCAUGUAGUGCUGAGUACAGCACACCAGGCACCCGGGGACACCCAGAGAGCAGCCUUUCCUCAACACAAGAGGAGUGAGCACCGCACAGAGCUGCAGAAAGGGAAUCCCAGAUGGGGUAACAGCAGAUACAAAGACCCCACGGCAGGCCCUGGCCUGGCCUGCUGGAGGAGCAGAACGGAAGCCAGUGGGUCUGGAGUAAAGGGGACCAACUUGUCCCGGUUUGCCCAGAACUUUCCUGGUUUUAACACUAGAAAUCCCAUGUCCCAGGAAACUUCUGAGUCUCAGCCAAGCUGGGAUGAUUUGCCUAGAACUUCCCCUAUUAUAAAACUGAGAGGUCUGUGCCCCAUCAUCCGCCUCAGUCCUAAGCAAGCUGAGGCAGUGGGUCGCCCUAGACUGGAGCAACGUGCAUGAUGGUGGGAAGAGCCAGUGACUCUCUUUCAUGUCCUCUCUGCCCUCGAUCUCAGGAGUCACCCAGGUGGGCACUGGCAUCCAGGAUGAAAACUUCCCAGCACCCCAGCAGUGGCCACGUGACCAGGCAGUGGCCAAUGCACAUGAGGCCAGUGCACAGCAACUGCCAUUAGAGGAAGGAAGAUUUGUGUCCUCUUGUUCUCUUCUCCCCUCCCUGCUGGCUGGUAGUAGAUAGGAUGGACACUGUGGGGGAAGCUACACCCUAAAGAAGUCAAAGCAGCAAGAUGGAAGUACCCUAAGACCCUGAAAAAUGCACAGAGAAGAAUCACCCGACUGGCUUGAACUUUCAUGUGAAAGGAAUGAACCUCUGUCUUAGUAAAGCCACCGUGAUUCAGGGUCCUUGUGAUAUUCACUGAGGCUGUAACAUAAUUGUUGAAAGAACAGGAGCGGGAGGGGAGAUGGAGUCGGAGAGGCAGGCAGAGGUCAGAUCACAUGGGGCCUGUAGGCCAAGGCGGAGGAAGAAACAGGUGACAUAGGACUCAAGGACCCCACCUGCUCCCAGGCGAAGGGAGUUUGCUGUGGGUGCCCCUCCCUGUCUGUGUGUCCAGUGUAUUCAUAUUCUUCAUACCUUGCCCAUAUUGGACAAAUACUUUUUUCUAUUCAAUAUUUAGAAGACAUUGCAUUAAAUAGCAAGAUGGCAGGUGAACAUCAGGAAGGAACAUUAGGAACAUCCACGGCGUUCCAUCCAGGAACCUUCACCGUGGAAACUCUUGUGCUCAUGGGCGUGGUCUCAAGACACAGUCAGCUGUUGGGGAUCAGAGGCGACACUCAUUGUAGCAGAGAGGCAGGACCAACUGGGAGAGGGUCCUUCUGUGACAACUAUUGCAUCACCGGGCUGUGUGAAGUGACUCAGCUGCCAGAACUCACACAAUAUCAUUCUACACCAAACCUCACGGGAAAAAUGCUCCACGACCCUCAGACUUAAACAGCAGCACUGGCUCCUCCCCAGAUCUCCAGCUCCCUGACCCUCAAACUCCAACUCCAACACCAGCUCUGCCCCAGGUCUCCAGCUCCACAAUCCUCAAACUACAACAGCAGCACCAGCUCCCCUGGGGAUCUCCAGCUCAAUGACUCUCAGACUUGGGAGGCAGCUCCAGCUCCCACCAAGCCUCCAGCUCCACAACCUUCAAACUAGAACAGCAGCACCAGCUACUCCCUGGGUCUCCAGCUCCCUCAAAAUUCAACUAUAGCACUGGCUGUUCCCCAGCGCCACCAGCUCCACAACCCUCAACUUACACGGUGGUAGCACCAGCUCCUCCCUAGGUCUCCAGCUACACGACCGUCAAACUUGAACUGCAACACCAGCUCCUCUUCGGCCUCCAGCUCCACAAUCCUCCAACAACAACAGCAACACCGGCUCCUCCCUGAAUCUCCAGCUCAACAACCCUCAGACUUGAGAGGCAGCACCGGCACCUCCCCAAGGCUCCAGCUCCAUGACCCUCAGAUUUGAACAGCGGUAGCACCAGCUCCUGUCCAGGUCUCCAGCUUCAUGAUCCUUAAACUAGAACAGCAGCACCACCACCUCCCUAGGUUUCCAGCUCCACGACCCUAAGACAUGAAUGGCAGGACCGGGUUCCCCGCUAGGGCUCCAGCUCCAAGACCCACAGAUAUAAACGGCAGCACCGGCUCUUCCUGGGAUCUCCAGCUCCACAGCCUUCAAACACGAUCAGCAGCACCAGCUCCCCUCUGGUUCUCCAGCUCCACAAUCCUCAGACAUGAACAGCAGCACAGGCUCCUCCUUGGGUCUCCAGCUUCUCUACCCUCAGACUAGAACAGCAACACUUGUUCCUCCCUGGGUCUCCAGCUCUUACAAGUCUCAGACUUGAAAGGCAGCACUGGCUCCUCAGAAAGUUUCUGGCUCCAAGCUGGUGCUGCUGUCCUAGUUUGAAGGUCAUGGAGCUGGAGACCCGGGGAGGAACCAUUUGAACAGCAGCACUGGCCCCUCCCCGGGUCUCAGGCUCCACGACCCUCAGACUUAAAAAGCCGUAGUACGGGCUUCUCCCUGGGUCUCCAUCUCUACAACCCUCAGACAUGAACAGCAGCAGCACCGCCCCCUCCCCCUGUCUCCAGUUCCACGAACCUCAAACUACAACAGCAGUACCGGCCUCUCCCCAGGUCUCCAGAUCCACGACCCUCAAAAUAGAAUGGCAUCACCGGCUCCUCCCUGGGUCUCCAGCUCCCAAACUCUCAAACUUCAAUUGACACACCGGACCCUCCCCACAGUUAAACAGCAGCACGGGCUGUUCCCCAAAGCUCCAGAUCCACGACCCUCUGACUUAAAGGGCGAUAGCACCAACUCCUCCCUAAGUCUCCAGUUCCACGACCCUCAAACUACACAGCAGCACCGGCUCCUCCUUGGGUCUCCAGCUUCACUACACUCAGACUAGAAUAGCAACACCGGUUCCUCCCUGGAACUCCAGCUCAAUGACUCUCAGACUUGAAAGGCAGCACCAGCUCCUCAAAAAGGUUCUGGCUCCAAGACCCUCGAACUAGAAUAGCAGCAGCUGCUGCAUCUUGGGUCUCCAGCUCCACAACCCUCAAAGUAGAAAAGCAGCCCUGGCUCCUCCCCGAGUCUCCAACUCCUCAAACUAGAACCGCACCCCUCCUCCCUGAGUCUCCAGCUCCAUGACCGUCAAACUACAACAGCAACACAGGUUCCUGUCUGGAUCUCCAGCUCAGCAACUCUCAGAUGAGGCAGCACCGGCAACUCACCAAGGCUCCAGCUCCACAACCCUCAGAUUUGAAUAAUGGUAGCACCAGCUCCUGUCCAGAUCUCCAGCUUCAUGAUCCUUAAACUAGAACAGCAGCACCGCUGCCUCCCUGGGUUUCCAGCUCCACGACCCUAAGACAUGAAUGGCAGAACCGGCUUCCCACAAGGGUUCCAGCUCCAGGACCCACAGAUUUAAAUGGCAGCACUGGCUCUUCCCAGGAUUUCCAGCUCCACUACCCUCAAACUAGAAGAGGAGCACCGGCUCCUCCCUGGGUCUCCAGCUCCCAAACCCUCAGACAUCACCUGACACACUGGAUCCUCCCCACAGUUACAUAGCAGCACGGGCUGUCCCCGAAAACUCGAGAUCCACAACCCUCUGACUUCAAUGGCGGUAGUACUGGUUCCUCCCUAGGUCUCCAGUUCCAUGACCCUCAAACUACACAGCAGCACCAGCUCCUCCCCAGGUCUACAGCUCCACCACCCUCACACUAGACACCAGGACUACCUCCUCCCCGCUCUCCAGCUACACGACCCGCAGAUUUGAACAGCAGCAGCGUCUCCUCCCUGUACCUCAAGCCCCAUAACCCUCAUAUAUGAACAACAGCAAUACCAGCUAAUGCCUAGGGCUCCAGCUCCAGGAUCCACAGAUUUAAACUGCAGCACCAGCUCGUCCAAGGAUCUCCAGCUCCACCACCCUCAGACUAGAACAAGACCUCUACUCCCUGGGUCGCGAGCUUCCGGACCCUCGAACUAUGAAAACAUUGCUCCUCCCUGGGUCCGCAGCUCCACGACCCUCAAACCAGAUCAAGAUCUCUCCUCCCUGUGUCGUCAGCUUCCUGACCCUUGAACUAUGACAACAUUGCUCCUCCCUGGGUCAGCAGCUCCACAACCCUCAAACCAGAUCAAGAUCUCUCCUCCCUGGGUCGCCAGCUUCCUGACCCUCGAACAACAGAAACAUUACUCCUCCCUGGGUCAGCAGCUCCAUGAUCCUCAAACUAGAAUGAGACCUCUCCUCCCUGCGUCGCCAGCUUCUGGACCCUUGAACUAUGAAAAUAUUGCUCCUCCCUGGGUCGGGAGCUCCAUGACCCUCAAACUAGAACAAGACCUCUCCUCCCUAGGUCUGCAGCUUCCAGUCCCUCAAAUAACAACAUUGCUCCUCCCUGGAUCUGCAGCUCCACGACCCUCAGACUAGAACACGAUCUGUCCUCCCUGGGUCACCAGCUUCCGAACCUUCGAACUAAAACAACAUUGCUCCUCCCUGGGUCUGCAGCUCCACGACCCUCAAACUAGAAAAAGACCUCUCCUCACUGUGUCGCCAGCUUCUGGACCCUCGAACUACAAAAACAUUGCUCCUGCCUGGGUCUGCAGCUCCACGACCCUCAAUCCAGAUCAAGAUCUCUCCUCCCUGUGUCAUCAGCUUCCUGACCCUCGAACUAUGACAGCAUUGCUCCUCCCUGGGCGCACCCUCAAACUAGAACAAGACCUCUCCACCCUGCGUCGCCAGUUUCCGGAGCCUCAAACUAAAACAACCUUGCUCCUCCCUGGGUCUGCAGCUCCACAACCCUCAAACUAGAACCAGACCUCUCCUCCCUGUGUUGCCAGCUUCCUGACCCUUGAACUAUGGAAACAUGGCUCCUCCCUAGGUCUGCAGCUCCACGACCCUCAAACUAAAACAAGAUCUCUCCUCCCUGGGUCUGCAGCUCCACGACCCUCAAACUAAAACAAGAUCUCUCCUCCCUGUGUCAUCAGCUUCCAGUCCCUCAAAUAACAACAUUGCUCCUCCCUGGGUCUGCAGCUCCACGACCCUCAAACUAAAACAAGACCUCUCCUCUCUAGGUCUGCAGCUUCCAGUCCCUCAAAUAACAACAUUGCUCCUCCCUGGAUCUGCAGCUCCAUGACUCUCAGACUACAACAAGAUCUCUCCUCCCUGGGUCACCAGCUUCCGGACCCUCGAACUACGAAAACAUUGCUCCUCCCUGGGUCUCCAGCUCCAUGACCCUCAAACUAAAACAAGAUCUCUCCUCCCUGUGUCAUCAGCUUCCAGUCCCUCAAAUAACAACAUUGCUCCUCCCUGGGUCUGCAGCUCCACGACCCUUAAACUAGAACAAGACCUCUCCUCACUGUGUCGCCAGCUUCCGGACCCUUGAACUAUGAAAACAUUGCUCCUCCCUGGGUCCGCAGCUCCACGACCCUCAAACUAAAACAAGAUCUCUCCUCCCUAGGUCUGCAGCUUCCAGUCCCUCAAAUAACAACAUUGCUCCUCCCUGGAUCUGCAGCUCCACGACCCUCAGACUAGAACAAGACCUCUCCUCCCUGAGUCACCAGCUUCCGAACCUUCGAACUAAAACAACAUUGCUCCUCCCUGGGUCCGCAGCUCCAUGACCCUCAAACUAGAACAAGACCUCUCCUCCCUAGGUCUGCAGCUUCCAGUCCCCAAAUAACAACAUUGCUCCUCCCUGGAUCUGCAGCUCCACGACCCUCAGACUAGAACAAGAUCUCUCCUCCCUGGGUCACCAGCUUCCGGACCCUGGAACUACAAAAACAUUGCUCCUCCCUGGGUCUGCAGCUCCACAACCCUCAAACUAAAACAAGAUCUCUCCUCCCUGUGUUGCCAGCUUCCGGACCCUCGAACUAUGACAACAUUGCUCCUCCCUGGGUCUGCAGCUCCACGACCCUCAAAGCAGAUCAAGAUCUCUCCUUCCUGUGUCAUCAGCUUCCUGACCCUUGAACUAUGACAACAUUGCUCCUCCCUGGGUCUGCAGCUCCAUGACUCUCAAACUAGAACAGCAGCACCAGCUCCUUCCUGGACCUCCAGGUCAAUGACUCUCAGACUUCAAAGGCAGCAGCAGCUCCACCCCCAGGCUCCAGCUCUAAAACCCUCAGAUGUGAGCAGUGGCAGCACCAGCUCCUUUCUGCGUCUCCGGCUUCAUGAUCCUUAAAUUAGAACAGCAGCGCCAUCUUCUCCCUGCGUCUCCAGCUCCAGGAACCUCAAACUGCAACAGGAGCACCUGUUCCUCUGGGAUUUUCACCUCCACGACCCUGAGGUGUCAGUGGCAGCACUGGCUCCUCCCCUGGGCUGCAGCUCCAGAACCCUCAAGAAUAAUCCCUUCUCAUGAAAUGUAGCAGUCAGGAAAACUGCAGAGGAAGUAAAUAAAUAAAUGUUUUCUUUCAAACUGAUGUUUCUUUUAUAUUCACACAAGUCAGGAAACUUUUCUACUUUCCAUCAACCUUACAAUCUACUUAUAUUCAAUUGUAAGGUGGAAAUCCACCAUUUGAAAUAACCUUUAAAAACUUAGUAACUCUCUUUUACUAUGAUUUUAUCUCACAGCUCUAGAAACGAUCUUUCACUUUGCCUGUGCAGAAGUCUUGUGAACAUUCAAACUAGAAUUUACUUGGUUGAGAUUCUAGAAUACACGUUAUCCCCAGAUGUUCCUGCCCUCCUUAAAAUCUUCUAACAUGUUCCCCUCACCCGAGCAUAAAUGCCAGGUCCUAUCCACAGCCCACAGUGCCCAGCACGGCCCUGCCCUCUGCCCUGACCUUAUGGUCUCCCCUCUGCUGUUACUUUCCUCCCAGACAGGCCUCUGUCACUUCCUGAAACCACACAGGCUCAGGCCUGACUCCGGGCCUUUGCCCCUGCUGUGCCCCCUGCGUGGAGCGCCUUUGCCCGGCUCCCCAUCCUCCUCUCCACCCGCUCAGCUCCAGCCUGCUGGC
This 7150-nucleotide long non-coding RNA is filed under the name Homo sapiens (human). Its description in RNAcentral is "HSALNT0268144". The record is from RNAcentral. Lineage: Eukaryota; Metazoa; Chordata; Mammalia; Primates; Hominidae.